Molecule: ribosomal RNA, 470 nt
Filed under: Calamaria andersoni (Anderson's reed snake)
Lineage: Eukaryota; Metazoa; Chordata; Lepidosauria; Squamata; Calamariidae
Description: partial 16S ribosomal RNA
Rfam family: Bacterial large subunit ribosomal RNA
Source: RNAcentral
GCAUGCCUGCCCAGUGAAUAUUAAACGGCCGCGGUACCCUAACCGUGCAAAGGUAGCAUAAUCAUUUGUCUACUAAUUAUAGACCUGCAUGAAUGGCAAAAUGAGGGCUCAACUGUCUCUUAUAAUAAACCAAUUAAACUGAUCUCCUAGUAAAAAAGCUAGAAUAAACCCAUAAGACCAGAAGACCCUGUGAAACUUAAACUAAACUAUUAAAACAAAUAAUAACUACUUUCGGUUGGGGCGACCUUGGAAAAAAAAAGAACUUCCAAACACACCAUAAUACUACUGGCUGACAGGCCAUUAAAGACCCAGCAUAGCUGAUAACUGAACCAAGCUACUCCAGGGAUAACAGCGCUAUCUUCUUCAAGAGCCCAUAUCAAAAAGAAGGUUUACGACCUCGAUGUUGGAUCAGGACACCCAAAUGGUGCAACCGCUAUUAAAGGUUCGUUUGUUCAACGAUUAUAGUCCUA